This is a long non-coding RNA of Amphiprion ocellaris (clown anemonefish), 881 nucleotides long. RefSeq lists it as uncharacterized. The transcript has 2 exons. The record is from RefSeq and is a predicted model, not a curated record. Lineage: Eukaryota; Metazoa; Chordata; Actinopteri; Pomacentridae.
AUUUCAUCUUCGUAGGACCCAUGUAGCGAGGACCCGAUGCCAGGUCCAGUGGACAGACUUCAAACGUCUCUGUGUGUCCCGUCCUGUCCGGUCCUGUCUCUGGUUGCCAGGUUACAGACGCUGCUGCACCCGCACGUUUAAAAAUGUCUACACCUGAAACUCCACCACGUCUAAAGAAGCAAAAACGUUUGCAAAUGUACAGACUGGAGUGGGAGGAGUGGAACCCCUGGCAAUGGAUACAAGGCAAACUGUGUUUUCUGUUGCUCAUGGACUGGCUGAAGUAAGGCAGCAUCAGGAGACAAACAUGGAGGAAAUAUGAGAACAGAGAGAACCCAACCAGCAGGUCACAGUUUAUCAUCAUCUAAUCAUCUCCUGAAGUCGAUAUGGUCCCUCUCUAUCUCCCCACACAUCCACCAACCACUGGAACACAUCUCCAAAGUUCUGCCGGGCCAGCUCAGCUUCCCCUCAGAAGAAGUGGCGCCACCUGCCAGAUGAAGGAGCCUUUUGAGAGGCAGCUGGCAUCGUGAUUGGACUGUACUUUGGCCUGUUCAUAUCCAGCUUCAGCUCCAGAGACGGCAGGCGGGACGAGUCAACGGAGGCCGGGUGGACGAAGGCAUGCAGCUGAGUACAAUCCAGAAAACAACAGAGGAGGAGUGCAGGGCCAGAACAAACAGAGUAGCAUCGUAUGUCUCUUAGAAAACAUCAUAGUAUAGCCUUUGGGAUGAAAAAACACCAUCAUAUACAUCGUAUAUUGUACAAAUAACAAGUCAAAGGAAAGAGGCAUACAUUGUAGAAUUGUAGUAAUUCUGGGCUGACUGAUUUACUGAUUAUCAGUAUUUUAUUUUUUACUGAUUUAUGGUAAUAAAUCAAUUUAAAAAUGG